GACGGAGGAUGCAAGCGUUAUCCGGAAUUAUUGGGCCUAAAGCAUCCGUAGCCGGUUCUACAAGUCUUCCGUUAAAUCCAACUGCUUAACAGGUGGGCUGCGGAAGAUACUAUAGAGCUAGGAGGCGGGAGAGGCAAGCGGUACUCGAUGGGUAGGGAUAAAAUCCGUUGAUCCAUUGAAGACCACCAGUGGCGAAGGCGGCUUGCCAGAACGCGCUCGACGGUGAGGGAUGAAAGCUGGGGGAGCAAACCGG
This 253-nucleotide ribosomal RNA is filed under the name uncultured bacterium. RNAcentral describes it as "partial 16S ribosomal RNA". It matches the Rfam family "Bacterial small subunit ribosomal RNA", at positions 524 to 776 of the family's 1533-position model. The record is from RNAcentral.